Molecule: long non-coding RNA, 787 nt
Filed under: Medicago truncatula (barrel medic)
Lineage: Eukaryota; Viridiplantae; Streptophyta; Magnoliopsida; Fabales; Fabaceae
Description: long non-coding RNA (MTRU_LNC007600)
Source: RNAcentral
UUCGUGCACACACCUUUAUUUAUAUUUAUUCUUUGAUGUGAUUCACAUCGAAAGUAUAUCUUAUUAACUCAUUCAUCACUCAAACUGACAUGCAUAUCAACACUUGUAUGUGAUUUUAGCUUCGUUUUGUUCACAGAUAAUGAGACACAAAUCACUCAAACUUACUUGCAUGGCAACACUUGUAUGUGAUUCCAUAUACUUUGCUUUAAAUGAUGAAUUUCAUCUCACUACAAGAAACAUUGAAGUUAGCUAGGAAUUAUACCGAGGAAUUAAGUUUCCUAGCUAGCGACAUUGCAUACCGAGGAAAAUUUCCUAGGUAAGCUUCUUUGACCGUUUGACCACUUUAAAGCUGUCAGCAUGUGUGUUAGCGAGGAAAUAGAGGUGUUACCGAGGAAAUAUUUCCUAGGUAAACACAUGGUACAAAAUGCAGCAGCUUUUUACUGUUAAAGGUAACAUGGCAGCUGUAUUUUUACGUUGGAGACUGAAAAAGCCUGAUAGAUGCAAUUGAUAUUAGCAGGUGAACGUUGAAAUGCACUGUUGGGUUAUUUAAUUGGCUUCAUGUGAAUAUAUAUGUCUUUGAACACUUCUCUAUUACAUUUUCCAUUCCAUAUUUUUGACACUUCUCACUACAAUUUUAUUUUCCAUCUCUAGUAUUCAACAAUUGCUCUUGCAUGUGUUUUUUCUUCAUAUAAGGUAACUAUUUUCUUAAUUGAUUUCAACUUUUAUAUUUAUAAAUAAAAUGUUAAUGUAAUAUAUGUUAUAUUAUUUUUUGCAGUUAAUAUUUAAU